This is a long non-coding RNA of Myxocyprinus asiaticus (Chinese sucker), 432 nucleotides long. RefSeq lists it as uncharacterized. The record is from RefSeq and is a predicted model, not a curated record. The transcript has 3 exons. Lineage: Eukaryota; Metazoa; Chordata; Actinopteri; Cypriniformes; Catostomidae.
AAUGUUUUAUAAUUUUGACAUUGAUCAUGUUAACUCUUUGUACAAAUGGCAGAUUUCCUUCUUUCCAUUGAAAUACACAAGAUGCUCUUUAGAAUAUUCUCCAAUCAGAAUAACAAGAUCAUUGGGUUUUGUUCAUGCCAGCUCCAGCACAGCAAAAAGAUGGUGUAGCCAGUGACUCGGACUCCAUUGGAUGUCCCGGCGGCAUCUAUGGUAACGGGCAGCCAGCUGAUCUGAGCGAUUCCUGGAGACGGGCCCUGCUCCAGCUGCACGUCCAGAGGUGCAUCAGGAGGACCUAAGAGACAAAGGGGUCUCUACUGUCGCACUGCUCUGAUCUCUGAUGGAGGUGACAGACAGCUGUCUCUGCAGACGCAACACUUCCUUCUGUGACUCCUUCAACAGACGCUCAAACUCACUCACUCCCACAGGACCCUG